Coffea eugenioides is the source of this 737-nucleotide long non-coding RNA. RefSeq lists it as uncharacterized. The transcript has 3 exons. The record is from RefSeq and is a predicted model, not a curated record. NCBI's taxonomy places the organism in Eukaryota, Viridiplantae, Streptophyta, Magnoliopsida, Gentianales, Rubiaceae.
AAUCUAAUCCUAAUCUAGUGGCCACCUGCUUUCCCACUGUGAUAUCUUUAUAAGGAUCGGAAACCAAACUGAAGAAAGUAAUUCCCUUGUCCGCAAACGCGUUACACUGCAGCCAGUUACAAUUUACAGUCACAUUCACCCCCAAAAUGCAGAAGCAGAGAGCAGCCCUUGCAUUUCUUCUGCUUCUUUUCAUAGUAGCGGUGGAUUUGGAGGUUCCCAUCUCAGCUCAAGUCAACUGCGACGAUGCUUGUACCACCGGCUGCGUUAAUCCUGACCCUAGGCUAGAGGCACGUUGUAAUCUCAAGUGCCAGAUAAGGUGCGGUCCAGAUGAUGCUCGAGCUAAGCACAAUUUAGGUGGGAAUUGAAUCCAUAGUGAAACAAACAUCUGGAGCGCGUUGGAAUUGGUAAAUGCCUAAAUGGUUAAAGCUAAGGAGUAAGGUAGAAGUGGAGUUCCAAUUUCCACUUGGGUUGUUUGCCAAAGGAGAUUUUACUAGUAGUACUGUUUUACUAUCAUUUACGUCUGUUGUUCUUACGAGUUACCAAGCCAAAAAUAAAGAAAAUCGGCCUUUCAGCUGCCUUUACUACAUAAAAAAAUAAUUCAUGGAUUUCCAAUUUCGGAAAUCAGGAAAUCUUGUUGAUUUAUGUUUUGCUGGCUGCUGGCUUGUAUCUCGUACUAAUAAGAGAUGAUGCAAAUUUUCAGUGAGUGGUCAUGAUCAUGAUGCAGUUCACCGUUUCCA